RNAcentral lists this transfer RNA (85 nucleotides) under Felis catus (domestic cat). It matches the Rfam family "tRNA". Rfam says of the family: Transfer RNA (tRNA) molecules are approximately 80 nucleotides in length. Their secondary structure includes four short double-helical elements and three loops (D, anti-codon, and T loops). The record is from Rfam by way of RNAcentral. RNAcentral also lists the same sequence under 4 other names. Lineage: Eukaryota; Metazoa; Chordata; Mammalia; Carnivora; Felidae.
GCCCGGGUGGCUCAGUUGGUUGAGCGUCUGACUUUGGCUCAGGUGAUGAUCUCCCAGUCUGUGGGUUCAGGCCCCACAUUGGGUU